Molecule: ribosomal RNA, 484 nt
Filed under: uncultured bacterium
Lineage: Bacteria
Description: partial 16S ribosomal RNA
Rfam family: Bacterial small subunit ribosomal RNA
Source: RNAcentral
AUUGAACGCUGGCGGCAGGCCUAACACAUGCAAGUCGAGCGGAUGAAGGGAGCUUGCUCCUGGAUUCAGCGGCGGACGGGUGAGUAAUGCCUAGGAAUCUGCCUGGUAGUGGGGGAUAACGUCCGGAAACGGGCGCUAAUACCGCAUACGUCCUGAGGGAGAAAGUGGGGGAUCUUCGGACCUCACGCUAUCAGAUGAGCCUAGGUCGGAUUAGCUAGUUGGUGGGGUAAAGGCCUACCAAGGCGACGAUCCGUAACUGGUCUGAGAGGAUGAUCAGUCACACUGGAACUGAGACACGGUCCAGACUCCUACGGGAGGCAGCAGUGGGGAAUAUUGGACAAUGGGCGGAAGCCUGAUCCAGCCAUGCCGCGUGUGUGAAGAAGGUCUUCGGAUUGUAAAGCACUUUAAGUUGGGAGGAAGGUCAGUAAGUUAAUACCUUGCUGUUUUGACGUUACCAACAGAAUAAGCACCGGCUAACUUCGUG